GACGAACGCUGGCGGCGUGCUUAACACAUGCAAGUCGAACGGUGAAGCGCCUUCCUUUUUGGUGGGUGUGGAUGAGUGGCGAACGGGUGAGUAACACGUGAGUAACCUGCCCCCUUCUUCUGGAUAACCGCAUGAAAGUGUGGCUAAUACGGGAUAUUCUGGGUCUGUCGCAUGAUGGGUCUGGGAAAGAUAUUGUUUCGGUGGGGGAUGGGCUCGCGGCGUGUCAGCUUGUUGGUGGGGUGAUGGCCUACGAAGGCGGUGACGGGUAGCCGGCCUGGGAGGGUGGACGGUCACACAGGGAGUGAGACACCGCCCAGACUCCGACGGGAGGCAGCAGUGGGGAAUAUUGCACGAUGGGCGCAAGCCUGAUGCAGCGACGCCGCGUGAGGGAUGGAGGCCUUCGGGUUGUGAACCUCUUUCGCCAGUGAAGCAGGCCUGCCUCGUUUGUGGGUGGGUUGACGGUAGCUGGAGAAGAAGCGCCGGCUAACUACGUG
This 494-nucleotide ribosomal RNA is filed under the name uncultured bacterium. RNAcentral's name for it is "partial 16S ribosomal RNA". It matches the Rfam family "Bacterial small subunit ribosomal RNA", at positions 28 to 507 of the family's 1533-position model. The record is from RNAcentral.